This 409-nucleotide ribosomal RNA is filed under the name bacterium. RNAcentral describes it as "partial 16S ribosomal RNA". It matches the Rfam family "Bacterial small subunit ribosomal RNA", at positions 355 to 776 of the family's 1533-position model. The record is from RNAcentral.
UGGGGAAUAUUGCACAAUGGGCGAAAGCCUGAUGCAGCGACGCCGCGUGAGGGAUGACGGCCUUCGGGUUGUAAACCUCUUUCAGCAGGGACGAAGCGCAAGUGACGGUACCUGCAGAAGAAGCACCGGCUAACUACGUGCCAGCAGCCGCGGUAAUACGUAGGGUGCAAGCGUUGUCCGGAAUUACUGGGCGUAAAGAGUUCGUAGGCGGUUUGUCGCGUCGUUUGUGAAAACCAGCAGCUCCACUGCUGGCUUGCAGGCGAUACGGGCAGACUUGAGUACUGCAGGGGAGACUGGAAUUCCUGGUGUAGCGGUGAAAUGCGCAGAUAUCAGGAGGAACACCGGUGGCGGAGGCGGGUCUCUGGGCAGUAACUGACGCUGAGGAACGAAAGCGUGGGUAGCGAACAGG